CCCCAUCCAGGCUGCUCCACUGCCCAGGGCCUUCCAGGGGAGCUGCACACCCCACACAGCAAAGGCCUCUCCAGCACAGGCCCUACCAUUUACCCCAUAGGCCAAACCCAAAUUUACAAAAUCUCUGAUCCAGCACAGUCAGUGUCUCACAAAGGGAUUUUCAGUCGCCUUUUAUGAAAAGAAAUUCCUUUCCCAAGUGCACCUAAUAUCCAGUAAAUUCCAGGUGCUUGCAGGGGGGAAACAGGAGGGCUCGUCCCUUGCCGGUGAGUGUCCGCGGCACGGCUGAAGCUGCUUUGGGGAACAGGGAGACAGCGAGACAGCUUCCACCUGCCCAGUGAUUCCGCCCCUGGGUUCUACCCAGGGCAAACGAAAGCAGAGGCUGAGGCAGCAGCAUUCACAGCAACUUCUUUAGCGACUGCCCACCCAGCGCUGGACCCAGACAGCCACCCCUUAGCAGCGGCAGGGAGUUGGGUGCCAGGGAAGGGCAGGGCCUGGGGUGGGAGGGGAGGAGGGGAGAGGAGGAGAAGGGCCUCCAGGGGUGGCCCAGGGGACGGGGGGCAACGCGUAGAUGAACACGCAGGCCUGGGCCCAGCUCUGACCUCCCCAGCUGCAGGCCUCUCGCAUGCCAUGUCCUCCUCCUCCUCCAAGGCAGGCGCCCGACAGCCCCGUGUGCAGGAGACGCACAGCACUCACCGACCCCAGGCGUGACUACGUUUGAGGCAACCAUGAAGGCUUCAGACAUUCAAACUUCUUAAUAGACCAGGCGUGGUGGCUCACGCCUGGAAUCCCAGCACUUUGGGAGGCUGAGGUGGGCGGAUCACUUGAGCCCAGGAGUUUGAGACCAGCCUGGGCAACAUAGGGAGACCCCCGUCUCUACAAAAAAUACAAAAAUUAGCCAGGUGUGGUGGCGCGUGCCUGUAAUCCCAGCUGCUCAGGAGGCUGAGGUGGGAGGAUCACCUGAACCUGGGAGGCGGAGGCUGCAGUGAGCCGAGAUCACACCACUGCACUCCAGCCUGGGCAACAGAGCAAGACCCCAUCUUAAAAAAAUUUAGUAACAAUCCUGAUUUUAAAGCUGUGUAUACCUUUUGGGAGAAAUCUGGAAAAGACUCAAAAGUAUAAAAAGUAAAAAAACAAAAAACAAAAAAAAACUACCUAAAAUUUCCCACCAAGGGCUAACACUGUUGCUUUUUUUUUUUUUUUUUUUUUGAGAUGGAGUCUCACCCUGUUGCCCAGGCUGGAGUGCAGUGGUCUGAUCUCAGCUCACUGCAAUCUCUGCCUCCCGGGUUCAAGUGAUUCUCCUGCCUCAGACUCCUGAGUAGCUGGGGUUACAGGUGUCUGCCACCGCACCUGGCUAAUUUUUGUAUUUUUAGUAGAGAUGGGGUUUCACCAUGUUGGCUAGGCUGGUCUCGAACUCCUGACCUCGUGAUCCACCCGCCUUGGCCUCCCAACGUGCUGAGAUUACAGGCGUGAGCUACCGUGCCCGGCCCACUGUUGCUAUUUUAAAGUGUCCCUGUGAAGUCUUGAUGCAUACAUGCACACACAUGCACCCACACACGCCUACACAGCCAUGUGUGCACAUGACACAGGGUCGCAGUCUCACACACCACACUCCUACACAGCCACAUGUGCACAUGACACAGGGUCCCAGUCACACACACGCCACACUCCUACACAGCCACGUGUGCACAUGACACAGGGUCCCAGUCACACACACACCACACUCCUACACAGCCACGUGUACACAUGACACAGGGUCCCAGUCACACACAUGCCACACUCCUACACAGCCACGUGUACACAUGACACAGGGUCCCAGUCACACACAUGCCACACUCCUACACAGCCACGUGUGCACGACACAGGGUCGCAGUCUCACACACCACACACCUACACAGCCAUGUGUGCACAUGACACAGGGUCACAGUCUCACAAGCCACACUCCAAAUGCCACACUCUCACCACACAUCCACGCCGUCAUGCCUUGGAUCAUUAAGGACACUUUGGAACGGAGCUUUGCUAUUCUCUGAAGAUACACAAAAUCCUCCACUGCUCACGUCAUAAUCUAUUUACCAACUGUGGAAAAUUCCGCGGUGCCUGUGGUUUUUAAAGUGAUGCUGAAGCGAGCACCUUUGUGCAUAUGUCUUGAUCCACGCCUGAUUUUAAAAUUUCAGAUAAAAUCCUAGAAGUGAAAUGGCUGGAGAGAGAGUUACAGCAGAGCCAGGUUCUCCGUCCUGCGCGGUUUCUAAGUGAAAUGGCUGGAGAGAGAGUCACAGCAGAGCCAGGGGCUCCAUCCUGCGCGGUUUCUGCAUUUGGUGUUGAGUUGUCCUUUCUGCAUCGGAAUUCUGACUCCUGAAAUCACAUUUCUCACCGUGUCUAGGUCAUACUUUCAAUAAUCUUUCAAUAACCUUUCUGCUGCUUUUUUUUUUGGAGACGGAGUCUUGCUCUGUCGCCCAGGCUGGAGUG
RNAcentral lists this long non-coding RNA (2463 nucleotides) under Homo sapiens (human). RNAcentral's name for it is "HSALNT0246490". The record is from RNAcentral. Lineage: Eukaryota; Metazoa; Chordata; Mammalia; Primates; Hominidae.